Molecule: ribosomal RNA, 309 nt
Filed under: uncultured bacterium
Lineage: Bacteria
Description: partial 16S ribosomal RNA
Rfam family: Bacterial small subunit ribosomal RNA
Source: RNAcentral
AAAGACAGCAGUAGCCGCGGGAAUACGAAGGGGGCUAGCGUUGUUCGGAAUUACUGGGCGUAAAGCGCACGUAGGCGGAUAUUUAAGUCAGGGGUGAAAUCCCAGAGCUCAACUCUGGAACUGCCUUUGAUACUGGGUAUCUUGAGUAUGGAAGAGGUAAGUGGAAUUCCGAGUGUAGAGGUGAAAUUCGUAGAUAUUCGGAGGAACACCAGUGGCGAAGGCGGCUUACUGGUCCAUUACUGACGCUGAGGUGCGAAAGCGUGGGGAGCAAACAGGAUUAGAUACCCCUGUAGUCCCUGUCUCUUAUAC